GGUAAAAUUAGGGUCUUAUAGUUUGUAUUAAUUUUAUAUAAUUUUUUUUACGCGAAUCAAUUAUAAAUUUAUAUUAAUCGGAUAGUAAAAAUUGCGAUUAUUCUGUACAUAUAUAAAUAUUCGAUAAUUUUUUAGGAUUAGUUAUUUAUUUUUAUAAAUUAUUUGCUCGGUUUGCUCCGGUCGGUUUGGGUCGUUUGGGUAAUUGGCUUCUCAGUGGUUAUCAGUUUAGGCUGCUGAAAUUUUUUUUUGUCUCUUGCUGUAUCUAAACACAAAUGAGUCAUAUCCAAUGACGAUUGAGCACCGCUUCUAUUUUAACAUUUUAUGAAAGCUGGUCAAAAUUAAUGAGCUGUUAAUAAUUAUUGGCAGUGGAAAAUCCUGUUGUUGUUUCCUGCAGCUCCUGUAUAUCCUGU
This is a long non-coding RNA of Aphidius gifuensis, 410 nucleotides long. RefSeq lists it as uncharacterized. The transcript is spliced from 3 exons. Lineage: Eukaryota; Metazoa; Arthropoda; Insecta; Hymenoptera; Braconidae. The record is from RefSeq and is a predicted model, not a curated record.